GUCUUAUAAACUAUAUACAACUUUCAGCAACGGAUCUCUUGGCUCUCGCAUCGAUGAAGAACGCAGCGAAAUGCGAUAAGUAAUGUGAAUUGCAGAAUUCAGUGAAUCAUCGAAUCUUUGAACGCACCUUGCGCUCCUUGGUAUUCCGAGGAGCAUGCCUGUUUGAGUGUCAUUAAAUUCUCAA
This 184-nucleotide ribosomal RNA is filed under the name Clavogaster virescens. Its description in RNAcentral is "5.8S ribosomal RNA". The stretch from base 19 to 172 matches the Rfam family "5.8S ribosomal RNA". Rfam says of the family: 5.8S ribosomal RNA (5.8S rRNA) is a component of the large subunit of the eukaryotic ribosome. It is transcribed by RNA polymerase I as part of the 45S precursor that also contains 18S and 28S rRNA. The record is from RNAcentral. Lineage: Eukaryota; Fungi; Basidiomycota; Agaricomycetes; Agaricales; Agaricaceae.